Molecule: long non-coding RNA, 288 nt
Organism: Lingula anatina
Lineage: Eukaryota; Metazoa; Brachiopoda; Lingulata; Lingulida; Lingulidae
Source: RefSeq, a predicted model, not a curated record
UUCACACCAACACGUUAUGUCACAAUAGACAAUGUCUGUGUAGAGCUGGCUUUGUCUACAUAGCCAUCAUAGACAAGUGUAUUCCUCUGCAAAGACUUGGCUCCAGGUGCUCUACACAUGCAGAGUGUGAGGCAAGAAAUGCAGUGUGCGAAAACAGAACAUGUGCAUGCACUCAAAACCAUGUGGAAGUACAAGGAGCAUGUGAGCCCUUGAAAUCACUAAAUGAGGAGUGUACAGUAGGUGCUCAGUGUCGGCCAGCUCACAGUGACUGUCUGGGUGGCAGGUGUG